This 292-nucleotide ribosomal RNA is filed under the name uncultured bacterium. Its description in RNAcentral is "partial 16S ribosomal RNA". It matches the Rfam family "Bacterial small subunit ribosomal RNA", at positions 505 to 796 of the family's 1533-position model. The record is from RNAcentral.
GUGCCAGCAGCCGCGGUAAUACGGAGGAUCCGAGCGUUAUCCGGAUUUAUUGGGUUUAAAGGGUGCGCAGGCGGAGUGGUAAGUCAGGGGUGAAAUUCUACGGCUCAACUGUAGGCGUGCCUUUGAUACUGCCAGACUAGAGUUAAGUUGGAGUGGGCGGAAUGUGUUGUGUAGCGGUGAAAUGCUUAGAUAUAACACAGAACACCGAUCGCGAAGGCAGCUCACUAAACUUAGACUGACGCUCAUGCACGAAAGCGUGGGGAUCAAACAGGAUUAGAUACCCCCGUAGUCC